This 28-nucleotide non-coding RNA is filed under the name Homo sapiens (human). The record is from RNAcentral. Lineage: Eukaryota; Metazoa; Chordata; Mammalia; Primates; Hominidae.
UGCACUUUUCAGACAGUUUAGGGAUGGC